UCUCCUCCUAAAGAGUAACGGAGGAGCACGAAGGUUGGCUAAUCCUGGUCGGACAUCAGGAGGUUAGUGCAAUGGCAUAAGCCAGCUUGACUGCGAGCGUGACGGCGCGAGCAGGUGCGAAAGCAGGUCAUAGUGAUCCGGUGGUUCUGAAUGGAAGGGCCAUCGCUCAACGGAUAAAAGGUACUCCGGGGAUAACAGGCUGAUACCGCCCAAGAGUUCAUAUCGACGGCGGUGUUUGGCACCUCGAUGUCGGCUCAUCACAUCCUGGGGCUGAAGUAGGUCCCAAGGGUAUGGCUGUUCGCCAUUUAAAGUGGUACGCGAGCUGGGUUUAGAACGUCGUGAGACAGUUCGGUCCCUAUCUGCCGUGGGCGCUGGAGAACUGAGGGGGGCUGCUCCUAGUACGAGAGGACCGGAGUGGACGCAUCACUGGUGUUCGGGUUGUCAUGCCAAUGGCACUGCCCGGUAGCUAAAUGCGGAAGAGAUAAGUGCUGAAAGCAUCUAAGCACGAAACUUGCCCCGAGAUGAGUUCUCCCUGAGACUUUAGGUCUCCUGAAGGAACGUUGAAGACGACGACGUUGAUAGGCCGGGUGUGUAAGCGCAGCGAUGCGUUGAGCUAACCGGUACUAAUGAACCGUGAGGCUUAACCUU
Molecule: ribosomal RNA, 648 nt
Filed under: Salmonella enterica subsp. enterica serovar Welikade
Lineage: Bacteria; Pseudomonadati; Pseudomonadota; Gammaproteobacteria; Enterobacterales; Enterobacteriaceae
Description: partial 23S ribosomal RNA
Rfam family: Bacterial large subunit ribosomal RNA
Source: RNAcentral